GGGUAAUGAGAUUUGGUGAUGGGUUGAAUUGUCCACAUUGAUUAAUUCUAAUGAUGAAAAAGGGGUAAUAAAAGGCAAUGUGAUUAACUGACUUGAUUUAUUAUGUGUAAUGUGUUCUUUAUUGAACCCGUAUACUUGUGAUAGCUGAGGUGAUUACAUAUCAUAUUGAUAUUUGAUUGAGAGGCAUAUCCCUUUUAUUGAUAUCAUAUCGUGCACAUGCAUUGACAUGCGAUUGACUGUGAGUAAAGGUCUAACACGUGGAGAUCGUCCGUGUUGAGAUCAAGUAUGAUUAUAAUUUGGGCACGUGGAGAUCGUCCCUGCGAGUGAUUAAUUUGAUUAUAAGUUGGGCACGUGGAGA
RNAcentral lists this long non-coding RNA (358 nucleotides) under Solanum tuberosum (potato). RNAcentral describes it as "long non-coding RNA (STUB_LNC007916)". Lineage: Eukaryota; Viridiplantae; Streptophyta; Magnoliopsida; Solanales; Solanaceae. The record is from RNAcentral.